GCAACGAAAGAGAGAAAAGAGGAGAUGGAGAAGGAGAAAGAGAAGCAGGGGGUUGAUAAAGAUCCGAUGGGUAAAGCUAGGGAGAUUAUUAGAGAAUCUUUAAUUAGUGAAAGUGAUUAUGAUCCUAAUGAAGGAUUAGCAAAGGAUGAUAAGAGUAAAUCAGCAAAGGAUGAUAUUUUAGCUUAUUCAAGAACGGUUCACCACAAGGAUUCUUCGCUUGAAUGAUCUAGUUACUAGUAUAUAUAUAUAUAUCUCUUUCGGUUUUCGACUUUUUUCUCCUCGAGUUUUUAUUCCGUUUGCUUGUAAAUUUGUUUCGGUUUUUUAUGUUCUGAUUUUCUGUUGUGUGAAAUUGGAAAUGCAUAAUGCUUUUUUAAAUUGGUUGAGAAAAUGAUAAGUACA
This 399-nucleotide long non-coding RNA is filed under the name Erythranthe guttata (spotted monkey flower). RNAcentral's name for it is "long non-coding RNA (EGUT_LNC000976)". The record is from RNAcentral. Lineage: Eukaryota; Viridiplantae; Streptophyta; Magnoliopsida; Lamiales; Phrymaceae.